RNAcentral lists this ribosomal RNA (1184 nucleotides) under uncultured bacterium. RNAcentral describes it as "partial 16S ribosomal RNA". The stretch from base 1 to 978 matches the Rfam family "Bacterial small subunit ribosomal RNA". The record is from RNAcentral.
GUUUGAUCCUGGCUCAUAUUGAACGCUGGCGGCAUGCCUUACACAUGCAAGUCGAACGGUAACAGGUUAAGCUGACGAGUGGCGAACGGGUGAGUAAUGUAUCGGAACGUGCCCAGUCGUGGGGGAUAACUGCUCGAAAGAGCAGCUAAUACCGCAUACGACCUGAGGGUGAAAGCGGGGGAUCGCAAGACCUCGCGCGAUUGGAGCGGCCGAUAUCAGAUUAGGUAGUUGGUGAGGUAAAGGCUCACCAAGCCGACGAUCUGUAGCUGGUCUGAGAGGACGACCAGCCACACUGGGACUGAGACACGGCCCAGACUCCUACGGGAGGCAGCAGUGGGGAAUUUUGGACAAUGGGCGCAAGCCUGAUCCAGCCAUGCCGCGUGCGGGAAGAAGGCCUUCGGGUUGUAAACCGCUUUUGUCAGGGAAGAAAAGGUUCUGGCUAAUACCUGGGACUCAUGACGGUACCUGAAGAAUAAGCACCGGCUAACUACGUGCCAGCAGCCGCGGUAAUACGUAGGGUGCAAGCGUUAAUCGGAAUUACUGGGCGUAAAAGCGUGCGCAGGCGGUUAUGCAAGACAGAGGUGAAAUCCCCGGGCUCAACCUGGGAACUGCCUUUGUGACUGCAUGGCUAGAGUACGGUAGAGGGGGAUGGAAUUCCGCGUGUAGCAGUGAAAUGCGUAUAUAUGCGGGAGGACCACCGAUGGCGAAGGCAAUCCUCUGGGACCUGUAACUGACGCCUCAUGCACGAAAUGUGUGGGGGAGCAACCAGGUAUUUAUUCUCUGGUAGUCCCCGCCCUAAAUGAGGACUCUGGGUUGUUUGGGAGGCCUUCUCUCCAAUACGAAAAUUAAGCGGGGAAGAUGAACCGCCUGGGGAACACUGUUGCGAGGGUUUAACUCUAAAAGGAAUUGGAGGGGGACCCUCUCUGAGGGUGGGGAUGUAGUGGGUCUUUUUUCCUGUGCUUACCAAAAUCCUCCUCCCCUCUUCCGGCUAGGUCUGGGUAGUACUCAGUAUAUUGUGUGGAGGUAUCGUCCGGGGAGUGGUGUCGGCGCACGUUGCUUUCCGUGUUCUUAUCCUCCUCAUGGUCCUGGUGGGAUUGGUGUGGUAAGUUCAUUCACGUACGUUCUCUCUCCUCUCCUAUAUUUUUGUGCUAAAUUAGAACCUCCGAUGGUGGUCUUUUCUUUGC